Molecule: long non-coding RNA, 4149 nt
Organism: Trichogramma pretiosum
Lineage: Eukaryota; Metazoa; Arthropoda; Insecta; Hymenoptera; Trichogrammatidae
Exons: 2
Source: RefSeq, a predicted model, not a curated record
CGCACUAAAAAAUGUGCGAAAAAAGACAUUUUUCGUCAUACUAUUGCAUAAAAUAAUUUUAUUCAUUUCAAGAGAUAUUUGUUUUGUGAUUGCUGUUUCCGUAAUCGCGGCUAAAGGUUUCUCAAGAAUAGAACACUUCAAGGUUGUCUUGAGGAAAGGCCUAAUAAACAAUUUUAAUUUCAUUUUCAAUUAUUCAUAAUUGCCGAUUGUAAAAAUCGAUCAUUGCUACUGUUACAGUACCGAGCUGAAUUUCGAUGUGUGUUCGUGUUUGAGUUUCCUCUACCCUAAAUCAGCUAGCAGUAGUUGAUCCCAAUUAGACCUCUUCACGUAUGCAUUGCAAAUGAGUUCGUACUUUUAACUAAAUUUUCAAUGCACGUUCUCGAGGUUACAUAAGUUUGUUCAUUUAUUGGUAAAAAUAUAGGAAAUAAAGCGGAUUGUCGAUCUUGAAUCGUGAAACUUUUCCGUUUCAGAAGUUUCGGUUUUAAUCAAAAUGUUUUGAAAUGGGUUUCAUUUUAUUUUAGUCGAUAAAUUUAUAUAUAUAGUUUAUAUGACAGAUGAAAAGGAUAAAGCCCGCAACGAGUACGUCGCUCAAUAAGUAAUGGUAUUAAAGUACAAAAGUAAAUAAAAAUCUCAAUAGCAUCGAAAAAAAUCGACAAUAAAAUCAAUAUUCUUGCUCCUCUUUGUAUAUCACUGUUUAUAACUUCGUUUUCUUCGAAUAAACCGAAUGCCGGGGGCUGUUGCCACGCGAAAAAUACAUCCGAAUUUAACGUGGGCAAAAAAAGGGAUAAAGACAUGAUGUAUACUUCAAUGAAAAUACCCUUCAAGCACACAGUAUACUCUAUUUUCCAGCGUUUUCACGUUCACGCAUACAGGAAAUUAUUGGCUCGGCGCGACCGUCAUUUAUAUAGAACCUCUGCGCGUGCAUAUUUAUCGAUACGAACUCGCAUCUUUCAGCCAUUAGGAAAAAUUCACGUUUUUUCCAUUCAGUUUUUUCACGGUGGCCGGAUUAACGAUUUGAACGUAUGAAUGCAAAUGUAAUUACGUUUCGAAAUGUUUCGAAUACUUCAUAUAGUGGGUAUACAACUCGAAGUAGUUUUGAUGAUAUAAUUCACCGUGACAGUUAAAUUAGUAAAAUUUACCUCACACAAAAUCAGUUGAAAUCGUUAGAAGUUUAGGCGGUCGCCAAACUUUUCACGUAUGUGCCACGUAGCUAAGUUCAUGCUUAACAUAUUUAUUCAUGAACUUGAUGAGAGAAAACUAGAGAGAAUCUUGCCGACGGCCAUGAGUACACAUUACAUCAAACAUUUACUCAAUAACUUGAUCUUCGUGAGCCUGAAAUCCGGCAACCGGAUGGGUAUCCCCCGUGGAGUCAACUCACACAUGCACACACACAUAUACGCACGUCACCCACAGAUGCAUCCGUUGUAAAGUGCGAAAUUAAUUAUCAAGCGGAUACGUCGACUACACCGAAAGUACGAUCGCCAUAAUUAAGCGUCGCGCGACGAGGGUGACGUACGCUCAACUAUUUUCAUUAUUGUUGCUUUUAAUUAAUUCCAUACUAUCGGUACGGACUUUUUUCGUUAAUACGAAUCGAUUUGAAUUUUGGAUGAAAAUUUUAGGCGAUGAUGAAAAUUUAUUUUGAAAGUUACACGAUUUUGGAUUAAAAUUGUGCACUUUGUGUUUAGCACGACUUUUACACGGAAAAGCGAUUGGCUCGUGAAAGAUAAAGCUACGAGAACUACAAAACACGAUGCAGACUUACACCACAGGAGAUCGUGUUGCUUAACCUUUUCUGAAGCUGCUUUACGAAAAGCGAAGCAAAUCUCCCCUGUGCUACACAGUAUCUACCACAUUUUCUAGCCAUUGCAGCUUCCUACAAAUUUCGCACGAUCAUGCACUCGAAAACGUUAAGUAGUCUUAGCAAUUGACGAAGCUGCUUGCUCUUUCGUAGUGCAAUAUUUUUGUGUUUAAUAUUUCACGGAUCAAUCACUUUUCCGUGUAUAAAAAUGUUGAUGAUUUAUUUAGAAAAACAAUUAAGUAUUGGAUCGAUAAAGGAGUUUUAAUUAAAUACCGCAAGAUACGAGCAACGAAUCUCUAAGACAUUCGAAGCGCAACAAAAAAGACCCUUCUUUUUAAUCGGUCGGGGCCGACAAUUCACCUGUAUGCCCUUUUUUCUCUAUUCACACAUGCAGUUCGCAUUCAUAUAAUUUUAGAGCUAAUCCAAUGAAUUUCUCGCUUUGUAAGCUCGAGUUUUAAUAUCGAUUGAUACUCACUUGUGUAAAGCAAAAGUAGAAGGAAUGGAUUUUCCUUUGAAUUAUUAUUCCCUUUAUAAUGAUAGCAUUUCAAUUGGUAGCGCUGUAUGAAAUGGCCAAUGUUUUUUGUUGUUUACCAAAGCCUCAGAAAUCGGGCCGCUCUCGCGAAUCUAAAGCCCACGCACACAUAGCAGGCAGGAAAUUCAAUAAAAUUCAAAAUGGAAAUACGUCUCUUUUUGGCUUUUCAUCUUUCUCGCCGUUCGAUCCCUUUGCACAUGGAUGUAUUGACACGAGCACGAAGCAGCACGCGUCGUCAAAUUCCCACCUAAACUUUUCACUGUUCUCUGUUUUGCUGUUAUUGCAUGCUGCAUAUGCAUACGUACGGUCGUGCGCGCGAAUAAAAGCCUUUGCCAAAGUACGCAGGCAUGCUCACGUAUAUAUUAUAUAGGUGCACUGCCAGCCUCGGGACUGCUACCGCGCAGUCUGUGCGCUGCAGCUUGCAGGAAUAUUUAAAAGUUGCCUCAAAGUAAUAUUGGAAAAUCUGUACCGACUGCCAGCUCGACAAUUUAUGCGUAUCAAUUAUUUGCAAGUGACGACUACUCUGCAAUGGUUCAGCGUCUUAUUUCUGAUGCGAAAUUGGAGAAGCCCUUGGCGCGCUGCAAGUGCCCGGCCGAGCAUUUAUUGAUGCCAGCUCUCAGAGGACAUCAGUGACACGAAGAAAAUUUGAGUGCCAUCGGCUGCACGGAAGCGCCCACGGUAUAAUUAGCAGAUAAAAUAGCUGCGCGAGUCUUUGAAGAUUGAUACUCGAUGGCCUGCAUCUUAGCUACCGACUUGUUCGAUUCAGGGCUUGGGAAAAAAUAGCUCGUUGACGAGUUGAAAUAUAAAAAUAAAAAGACUCACCGAAGACAGCAUCUUUUAGUAUAUUAUUAAUUUGCCACGCGAACUCGAUGGAGUUUUCUCAUAGCUUUUGUAAAAUGUGCGAGAAAAAUGUACGUACGAGAGAGCAAAAAAAAUUUUAUAGGCCACCGAGAGCUGUAUACAUGCUUACGAUCAACAGCGUCAGCCGUUGCAAAUAUGUACUGCACUUUAAUGAGUAAAGCUAUUUUCCGCCGUUCCGUCGUUAAAAUAGCCACCUAUUUGUGCUGCACUGUCGAUUAUGCACAAACAGUACACGUACGCCGUUUGGAAUAAUAAUGCGGGGGUGAAAUUAACCAAAGCACAACACACAGAUUUUAAUGUUUAUAUACAUCAAAUCGUAUUGGAUCUUUAUUAUAAUGUUUUUUCUCGAAGUUCGUAUGAAUGACAUUGUAUUAAAAAUGCUGAUGACAAGUACAUCGCUCACACGCGCACAUUUAUACACGUACAACAUACGAUCAAAAGCUGGUUUUUUUUCUUCUUUCCAUUUUCUUUACAACAGCAAACAAGCAGCAAUAUGAUAAUUUUUCCACAAAAAAACGAUCAAAUCAAUCGAUCGUGCGCAAAUUCAUACAUGACAGUCAAUACGGAGCGAAAUUCAUUCUAAUAAAGCUGCACGCUUGGCUCGUUCUGUCAGACAUAUAUUCCGCUCCACGCGACAGAGUUAACAAAUAAUAUUAUCCUACAUGGAUAUUAUCCUCUCUGGCUCGAGUCAACUCGAUUCAAAUGCAUUUGCGCGUACAUAGAUACGGUUUUAUUAUCCGAUACAUGCCAUUUAUGCAUCUGCUGUCCAUUUGCGCGUACUUGGCGCAUUAUGUGCUGGGCGAAAAAUUAUUAUAACAAUCAUCUAAAUGUGCAACGAUCCGCAUUAUGUAUAAUGUAUAAUACGUUACGAUCUGUUUGUGUAUGUGUGCGUGUGUAUAAUGAGUAUACACGUCAGUGUCACGUGAUUAUUGCAAUAAAACCGAUUUAUUUAUCCUUA